AAACCUGGAACGAUUGAUUGCCGGCAUAGGCACCAAUGACUGACAUCAUAUUCACGAUCCGCAUCGGCAU
Molecule: small RNA, 70 nt
Filed under: Sinorhizobium meliloti 2011
Lineage: Bacteria; Pseudomonadati; Pseudomonadota; Alphaproteobacteria; Hyphomicrobiales; Rhizobiaceae
Description: putative ncRNA
Source: RNAcentral